AUCUUAUCAAGAGAGGCGGAGGAACUGGUCCUAUGAAACCUCAGCAACCACAGUGUUUUUUCUGUAAGGUGCUAAUUCCUGAAGAUAAGAA
This 91-nucleotide non-coding RNA is filed under the name Bacillus sp. (in: firmicutes). RNAcentral describes it as "Bacillus sp. SAM-I sequence". It matches the Rfam family "SAM riboswitch aptamer (S box leader)". Rfam says of the family: The SAM riboswitch is found upstream of a number of genes which code for proteins involved in methionine or cysteine biosynthesis in Gram-positive bacteria. Lineage: Bacteria; Bacillati; Bacillota; Bacilli; Caryophanales; Bacillaceae. The record is from RNAcentral.